GGUGUUGUGGCUCAGUGGUAGAGCGCUAGCCUAGCAUGUAUGAGGCACUGGGUUCAAUCCUCAGCACCA
Molecule: transfer RNA, 69 nt
Filed under: Ictidomys tridecemlineatus (thirteen-lined ground squirrel)
Lineage: Eukaryota; Metazoa; Chordata; Mammalia; Rodentia; Sciuridae
Description: Spermophilus tridecemlineatus (thirteen-lined ground squirrel) tRNA
Rfam family: tRNA
About the family: Transfer RNA (tRNA) molecules are approximately 80 nucleotides in length. Their secondary structure includes four short double-helical elements and three loops (D, anti-codon, and T loops).
Source: Rfam by way of RNAcentral